This 253-nucleotide ribosomal RNA is filed under the name uncultured bacterium. Its description in RNAcentral is "partial 16S ribosomal RNA". It matches the Rfam family "Bacterial small subunit ribosomal RNA", at positions 524 to 776 of the family's 1533-position model. The record is from RNAcentral.
UACGGAGGGUGCGAGCGUUAAUCGGAAUUACUGGGCGUAAAGGGUGCGUAGGUGGUUGCAUAAGUUAUCUGUGAAAUUCCUGGGCUUAACCUGGGGUGGUCAGAUAAGACUGUGUGACUCGAGUAUGGGAGAGGGUAGUGGAAUUUCCGGUGUAGCGGUGAAAUGCGUAGAGAUCGGAAGGAACACCAGUGGCGAAGGCGGCUACCUGGCCUAAUACUGACACUGAGGCACGAAAGCGUGGGGAGCAAACAGG